GUCUAUGGCCAUGCCACCCUGAACAAACCCACUCCCAUCUCAUCUCCAAAGCUAAGCAGGAUCGGACAUGGUUAGUACUUGGAUAGGAGACUACUUUAGGAAAAUCAGGUGCUGUAGUUG
Molecule: ribosomal RNA, 120 nt
Filed under: Pteropus alecto (black flying fox)
Lineage: Eukaryota; Metazoa; Chordata; Mammalia; Chiroptera; Pteropodidae
Source: RNAcentral